RNAcentral lists this ribosomal RNA (161 nucleotides) under uncultured bacterium. RNAcentral describes it as "partial 16S rRNA". It matches the Rfam family "Bacterial small subunit ribosomal RNA", at positions 358 to 511 of the family's 1533-position model. The record is from RNAcentral.
GGAAUCUUCCACAAUGGGCGAAAGCCUGAUGGAGCAACGCCGCGUGUGUGAUGAAGGCUUUCGGGUCGUAAAGCACUGUUGUAUGGGAAGAACAGCUAGAAUAGGAAAUGAUUUUAGUUUGACGGUACCAUACCAGAAAGGGACGGCUAAAUACGCGCCAG